RNAcentral lists this ribosomal RNA (482 nucleotides) under uncultured bacterium. Its description in RNAcentral is "bacterial SSU rRNA". It matches the Rfam family "Bacterial small subunit ribosomal RNA", at positions 29 to 506 of the family's 1533-position model. The record is from RNAcentral.
UUGAACGCUGGCGGCAUGCCUUACACAUGCGAGUCGAGCGGCAGCGCGGGGGCAACCCUGGCGGCGAGCGGCGAACGGGUGAGUAAUACAUCGGAACGUGUCCAGUAGUGGGGGAUAACCAGUCGAAAGACUGGCUAAUACCGCAUACGAUCCACGGAUGAAAGCGGGGGACCGCAAGGCCUCGCGCUGUUGGAGCGGCCGAUGUCGGAUUAGCUUGUUGGCGGGGUAAAAGCCCACCAAGGCGACGAUCCGUAGCUGGUCUGAGAGGACGACCAGCCACACUGGAACUGAGACACGGUCCAGACUCCUACGGGAGGCAGCAGUGGGGAAUUUUGGACAAUGGGCGCAAGCCUGAUCCAGCCAUGCCGCGUGAGUGAAGAAGGCCUUCGGGUUGUAAAGCUCUUUCGGCGGGGACGAAACGGUCCGUGCCAACACCACGGACUAAUGACGGUACUCGCAGAAGAAGCACCGGCUAACUACGU